Long non-coding RNA from Esox lucius (northern pike), 561 nucleotides. RefSeq lists it as uncharacterized. NCBI's taxonomy places the organism in Eukaryota, Metazoa, Chordata, Actinopteri, Esociformes, Esocidae. The transcript is spliced from 5 exons. The record is from RefSeq and is a predicted model, not a curated record.
UUUACGUUGGCAGAAUACAUUUUCAACGGCUCCAGACAACUUGUUCAGCCUUUACAUGACCUGGAAUAAGAUAAUUAACAAACUUUUUAUAUUUUACGACAGUUUACAUUAGGAUAAUUGCACUAUAAAUAACUUACAAAUAUUCAGGUCAACCAGACUCGAAGCUUGAACCGUGAAGCUUUUCAGUUGGAAAUCACUACACGACUAAUGAGGACCAUCCAGGGGCCACUCCCUCUAAUGUUGAGAAUCGGGACCCUAACCAACUAUUGAUGAACCCUGAACAAUGUAAAGAAGACCCAUUUGGUUUUAAAACCAAUGUGUAUUAUGAAAAUCAGUUCUUACCUUGGAGAUGCGUGCCUACUGCAAUGAACGUCAUGGAGAUAUGUCAAAACAACAUGGAUUUGACUGUGCCUGAAAAGAACAGUACUUGCUAAGCUGUGGAAUUAGAAUACUACUACUCAGUAGUCAAAAAACAUCAAUAGACCUGGAAGAAGAGAACAAAGGAAAAAAUUGCUGCUAUUUUUGCUGCUAACGUGUCUGCUAUUGUGUUUAGCAAAUAGC